Non-coding RNA from Paramuricea clavata, 539 nucleotides. NCBI's taxonomy places the organism in Eukaryota, Metazoa, Cnidaria, Anthozoa, Malacalcyonacea, Plexauridae. The record is from the annotation of a GenBank genome assembly.
GAUGCUGUUUGUCCCAACAACUCGCUGCAAAUUAAUGGUUAUUGCUACUAUCUUAGUAAUAAAACUGGUAGUUGGAAUGUGGCUCGAAAGAAUUGCCGUUAUCGUGGUGGCGAUUUGGCCGUGCCAAAUAGUUUGAAAAUCAAUUAUCAAAUUUACCAGCUUCUUAAAGUUCAUGGUGUUGGAGAGGCAUGGAUUGGUGUGUAUAGGGAUGAAAACAACAAGUUUAUCACCACCGGUGGCGUCGGCGUUUCUUAUGCAAACUGGAAGGCGGGAGAACCAAAUAACUAUCGUGGCAGGGGAGAAAAUUGCGUCGAGAUGUAUGCAGUUCCCGAUAAAGCAGAGAAGUGGAAUGAUGAGCCAUGUUCGCGUAAAUAUCGCUAUGUCUGUGAACUUGUUGUAUAGCUUCUACUCUCAAACCAAGCAGAUUAGAACUUUUCUUUCACCAAGCUUAGUAUAGCAGGAUAGCGGAUUUAUACAUCAUUGAUUAAUAAUUAUUGUAUCGUAACAGUGAUGCAAUGCCAUAGGGGGAAACGUAUGAC